Molecule: ribosomal RNA, 497 nt
Filed under: uncultured bacterium
Lineage: Bacteria
Description: partial 16S ribosomal RNA
Rfam family: Bacterial small subunit ribosomal RNA
Source: RNAcentral
GAUGAACGCUGGCGGCGUGCCUAAUACAUGCAAGUCGAGCGAACGGACGAUAAGCUUGCUUCUCUGAUGUUAGCGGCGGACGGGUGAGUAACACGUGGAUAUCCUACCUAUAAGACUGGGAUAACUUUGGGAAACCGGACCUAAUACCUGAUAAUAUUUUGAACCGCAUGGUUCAAAAGUGAAAGACGGUCUUGCUGUCACUUAUAGAUGGAUCCGCGCUGCAUUAGCUAGUUGGGAAGGUAACGGCUUACCAAGGCAACGAUGCAUAGCCGACCUGAGAGGGUGAUCGGCCACACUAGAAUGGAAACACGGUCCAGACUACUAGGGGAGGCAGCAGUAGGGAAUCUUACGCAAGGGGAGGAAGGCUGAAGGAGCAACGCCGCGUGAGUGAUGAAGGGAUUGGGAUCUGAAAACUCAGUUAUUAGGGAAGAACAUAUGUGUAAGUAACUGGGCACAUCUUGACGGUACCUAAUCAGAAAGCCACGGCUAACUACGUG